This 69-nucleotide transfer RNA is filed under the name Phyllomimus sp. YH-2018. Its description in RNAcentral is "tRNA-Gln". The record is from RNAcentral. Lineage: Eukaryota; Metazoa; Arthropoda; Insecta; Orthoptera; Tettigoniidae.
UAUAUUUUAGUGUAAGAGGCACAGGAGUUUUUGAUACUUCUAGGAAUAGUUUAAUUCUGUUAAAUAUAA